CCUACGGGAGGCAGCAGUGGGGAAUUUUCCGCAAUGGGCGAAAGCCUGACGGAGCAACGCCGCGUGGGUGAUGAAGUCUUUCGGGACGUAAAACCCUUUCAGCAGGGACGAACAAAAUGACGGUACCUGCAGAAGAAGCAUCGGCUAACUACGUGCCAGCAGCCGCGGUAAUACGUAGGAUGCGAGCGUUGUCCGGAUUUAUUGGGCGUAAAGCGAACGUAGGCGGUUUCUUAAGUUUGGUCUUAAAGACCGGGGCUCAACCCCGGGAGUGGACUGAAUACUGGGAGACUAGAGGAUGUUAGAGGAAAGUGGAAUUCCAAGUGUAGCGGUGAAAUGCGUAGAUAUUUGGAGGAACACCAGUGGCGAAAGCGGCUUUCUGGGACAUUUCUGACGCUGAGGUUCGAAAGCUCGGGGAGCAAACAGGAUUAGAUACCCUGGUAGUCCGAGCCGUAAACGAUGGACACUAGGUGUCGGGGGUAUCGACCCCCCGGUGCCGUAGCUAACGCGUUAAGUGUCCCGCCUGGGGAGGUACGGUCGCGACGACUACGAACCGAAACGGAAGUAGUACGGCGUGAGACGUGCCGACGGACGACGACGAGGGAGGUAAGG
This 609-nucleotide ribosomal RNA is filed under the name uncultured bacterium. RNAcentral describes it as "bacterial SSU rRNA". The stretch from base 1 to 521 matches the Rfam family "Bacterial small subunit ribosomal RNA", at positions 338 to 873 of the family's 1533-position model. The record is from RNAcentral.